GAUGAACGCUGGCGGCGUGCUUAACACAUGCAAGUCGAACGGACUUUACAUGAAGCCUAGCGAAUGUAAAGUUAGUGGCGGACGGGUGAGUAACGCGUGGGUAACCUGCCAUAUACAGGGGGAUAACACUUAGAAAUAGGUGCUAAUACCGCAUAAGCGCACGGUUUCGCAUGAAACAGUGUGAAAAACUCCGGUGGUAUAUGAUGGACCCGCGUCUGAUUAGCUGGUUGGUGGGGUAACGGCCCACCAAGGCGACGAUCAGUAGCCGGCCUGAGAGGGUGAACGGCCACAUUGGGACUGAGACACGGCCCAAACUCCUACGGGAGGCAGCAGUGGGGAAUAUUGCACAAUGGGGGAAACCCUGAUGCAGCGACGCCGCGUGAGUGAAGAAGUAUUUCGGUACGUAAAGCUCUAUCAGCAGGGAAGAAAAUGACGGUACCUGACUAAGAAGCCCCGGCUAACUACGUG
RNAcentral lists this ribosomal RNA (468 nucleotides) under uncultured bacterium. Its description in RNAcentral is "bacterial SSU rRNA". It matches the Rfam family "Bacterial small subunit ribosomal RNA", at positions 28 to 507 of the family's 1533-position model. The record is from RNAcentral.